This 119-nucleotide ribosomal RNA is filed under the name Helianthus annuus (common sunflower). Lineage: Eukaryota; Viridiplantae; Streptophyta; Magnoliopsida; Asterales; Asteraceae. The record is from RNAcentral.
GGUUGCGAUCAUACCAGCACUAAAGCACCGGGAUCCCAUCAGAACUCCGCAGUUAAGCGUGCUUGGGCGAGAGUAGUAUUAGGAUGGGUGACCCCUGGGAAGUCCUCGUGUUGCAACCC